CGGGGAGUAGCGCAGUCCGGUUAAGCGCGUCUGGUUUGGGACCAGAAGGUCCCCGGUUCAAAUCCGGGCUCCCCGA
RNAcentral lists this transfer RNA (76 nucleotides) under Candidatus Omnitrophota bacterium. RNAcentral describes it as "tRNA-Pro". It matches the Rfam family "tRNA". From Rfam's summary of the family: Transfer RNA (tRNA) molecules are approximately 80 nucleotides in length. Their secondary structure includes four short double-helical elements and three loops (D, anti-codon, and T loops). Lineage: Bacteria; Pseudomonadati; Candidatus Omnitrophota. The record is from RNAcentral.